UUUAGCAAUGUUUCUCUUGUGCAUGUUAGUUAAUGAAACCACGGUGAUAUCACUGGCUUGUCCCUGAGUGUUUCUCCUGUGGCCACUAGGUGCUGUCAGUGAUGCGGAGAUGCAGGAGCACUAGGUGAGUCAGUGACACGUCAGCUACUGGUAUUAUCACACUAUAAAUCCACUUGAAAGGAGUGGAUGAUGCAACUCUUGGUUACCUUGCAUCUCUUCCCCCACCACACAGCCCAUGUGAGAGUCGAUGACAAAAUACUGACACCAAGUGAAACCGACUAGAAAUAUUGAAAAAAAAAAAUUUGGGACCAUUUUUGGGAAAUGCGCUUUGAAUUCAAGCAAACUUGAGACUUAGUGUUUUCCCCUUUUCUGUCUGCCAAUUCACCUCUCCCUUUGUUUCUCUUGUUGUAUGAGGUCUUCACAGAGAUGGAGAAGUAUGGAGAGGUGGAGGAGAUGAAUGUGCGACAACUUGGGAGACCAUCUGGUUGGAAACGUAUACGUGAAGAACGUCAUUUCGCGCACACACACACCAACUCUGUGAUGGUUUCUGUGUGUAGUUCCGUCGUGAGGAAAACGCGGAGAAGGCAGUGAUGGAUCUGAAUAACCGCUGGUUCAACGGUCAACCAAUCCACGCCGAGCUCUCUCCCGUUACAGACUUCAGAGAAGCCUGCUGCCGCCAGUACGAGAUGGGGGAGUGCACUCGAGGACGCUUCUGUAACUUCAUGUACGGUACCUGAAACCCAUCUCCAGGGAGCUGAGGGAGCUGUACGGACGCCGCAGGAAGAAGGGAGGGGGGCAUCGUUCUCGCUCCCGUUCCAGGGAACGCCGUUCUCGCUCGAGGGAUAGAGGCCCAGGGGAGGCGGGCGCGACCGCGAGAAGACGUUCCAGAGAACGCUCUGGAAGGUUCUAAACCAAGCCACCACUUCACGUCCAUCUCACCUUCCAUCUCCAUUAUCACUCUCCAUCCAUCCUCAAAUCCCUAUAUCUUUCCCUCCAUUGCGGCCUUUCAAUUCCCCGUUGGCCCUUUCAUAUUGUCCCAAUGAAUACAAAAAUUUGGAAAAUGUUGGACUUGUUAUUCUUUUUUAUAAUUUUUAUUCAAGAAAUGUAAAGCUUGCCUUCUCAAUAAAAAAAAAUGUAAACAUGA
Salvelinus namaycush (lake trout) is the source of this 1144-nucleotide long non-coding RNA. RefSeq lists it as uncharacterized. The record is from RefSeq and is a predicted model, not a curated record. The transcript has 4 exons. NCBI's taxonomy places the organism in Eukaryota, Metazoa, Chordata, Actinopteri, Salmoniformes, Salmonidae.